RNAcentral lists this ribosomal RNA (495 nucleotides) under uncultured bacterium. RNAcentral describes it as "partial 16S ribosomal RNA". It matches the Rfam family "Bacterial small subunit ribosomal RNA", at positions 28 to 507 of the family's 1533-position model. The record is from RNAcentral.
GACGAACGCUGGCGGCGUGCCUAAUACAUGCAAGUAGAACGCUGAAGGAGGAGCUUGCUUCUCUGGAUGAGUUGCGAACGGGUGAGUAACGCGUAGGUAACCUGCCUGGUAGCGGGGGAUAACUAUUGGAAACGAUAGCUAAUACCGCAUAAUAGUAGAUGUUGCAUGACAUUUGCUUAAAAGGUGCAAUUGCAUCACUACCAGAUGGACCUGCGUUGUAUUAGCUAGUUGGUGGGGUAACGGCUCACCAAGGCGACGAUACAUAGCCGACCUGAGAGGGUGAUCGGCCACACUGGGACUGAGACACGGCCCAGACUCCUACGGGAGGCAGCAGUAGGGAAUCUUCGGCAAUGGACGGAAGUCUGACCGAGCAACGUCGCGUGAGUGAAGAAGGUUUUCGGAUCGUAAAGCUCUGUUGUAAGAGAAGAACGAGUGUGAGAGUGGAAAGUUCACACUGUGACGGUAUCUUACCAGAAAGGGACGGCUAACUACGUG